CAACCCUUUUCCUUACUUGCCAGCAUUUCGGAUGGGAACUUUAAGGAUACUGCCAGUGACAAACUGGAGGAAGGCGGGGACGACGUCAAGUCAUCAUGGCCCUUACGGCCAGGGCUACACACGUGCUACAAUGGUCGGUACAAAGGGUUGCUACACAGCGAUGUGAUGCUAAUCUCAAAAAGCCGAUCGUAGUCCGGAUUGGAGUCUGCAACUCGACUCCAUGAAGUCGGAAUCGCUAGUAAUCGCGGAUCAGAAUGCCGCGGUGAAUACGUUCCCGGGCCU
Molecule: ribosomal RNA, 282 nt
Filed under: Pseudomonas aeruginosa
Lineage: Bacteria; Pseudomonadati; Pseudomonadota; Gammaproteobacteria; Pseudomonadales; Pseudomonadaceae
Description: partial 16S ribosomal RNA
Rfam family: Bacterial small subunit ribosomal RNA
Source: RNAcentral